UACGUAAGGGGCAAGCGUUAUCCGGAUUUACUGGGUGUAAAGGGAGCGUAGACGGAUGGACAAGUCUGAUGUGAAAGGCGGGGGCCCAACCCCCGGACUGCAUUGGAAACUGCCCGUCUUGAGUGCCGGAGAGGUAAGCGGAAUUCCUAGUGUAGCGGUGAAAUGCGUAGAUAUUAGGAGGAACACCAGUGGCGAAGGCGGCUUACUGGACGGUAACUGACGUUGAGGCUCGAAAGCGUGGGGAGCAAACAGG
This 253-nucleotide ribosomal RNA is filed under the name uncultured bacterium. Its description in RNAcentral is "partial 16S ribosomal RNA". It matches the Rfam family "Bacterial small subunit ribosomal RNA", at positions 524 to 776 of the family's 1533-position model. The record is from RNAcentral.